CACGCCGUAAACGGUGGGCACUAGGUGUGGGUUCCAUUCCACGGAAUCCGUGCCGUAGCUAACGCAUUAAGUGCCCCGCCUGGGGAGUACGGCCGCAAGGCUAAAACUCAAAGGAAUUGACGGGGGCCCGCACAAGCGGCGGAGCAUGCGGAUUAAUUCGAUGCAACGCGAAGAACCUUACCUGGGUUUGACAUAUACCGGAAACAUCUGGAGACAGGUGCCCCGCAAGGUCGGUAUACAGGUGG
Molecule: ribosomal RNA, 245 nt
Filed under: uncultured Propionibacteriaceae bacterium
Lineage: Bacteria; Bacillati; Actinomycetota; Actinomycetes; Propionibacteriales; Propionibacteriaceae
Description: partial 16S ribosomal RNA
Rfam family: Bacterial small subunit ribosomal RNA
Source: RNAcentral